CCUACAUUUUCCUGUUUCCAUUCAUUUACUCAGUGUACAAAGAUCUCAUGUGGCAGGUUGAGCCAGUGUCCUGCUGGAUAGUGGGGUACCAUGAACGAGAGAAAGGUGGGAAGAAGCUCAGCCCAGUGGGAAAGGCUGCUCUUGAAAGUUUAACAAGAGGAAUGGUUCAAUGGGAGAAGUCACUGUGUGUGCAUGUGUAUGUGUGUGUGAGUGUGUGUGUAUGUGUGCAUGUGUGUGCGUGUGUGUGCGUGUGCAUGUGUGUGCAGGGGAGGGGGAAUUUCUUUUUGAAGAGGUGGUAACGGAUCACAUCUCUAAGAAGGAGCUGGUUUGGUUUAAAUGGGAAUUAAAGGCGUGAACAGAUGGGGUCCAUUUCUCCAGAUGUUGAGAAUAAUGUAUCCGGAGUUCCUGAGGAGCAAGAAUGAGAGCCUGUUUCCUGGGAGGAAACGAAAAAUAAACAGGAGUAGCACAGAAGAUUGAGAUUCUGAGACGCGGAAUCUCUGGUUUCAGAGACGAGUGAUGGGACGUGGUGGUGAGCGAGAAGGGAGACAACCGUUUGACUCCAUCCCUUCUGCUUGAGUCCGUACUCUGAGCCAGAGCUAGAGCAGCCUUUUCAAGACACAAGAAUCUGUACGGUACAGCUUUAAUCUGCACACACCAGGGACUUGACCUGCCUAGGGGUGCGGAAGGAAUGCAGAAAUGACAGACAGACACACAGCAAAGCAGGGGUCUGCUGGAGUGGUACUGGGAUGGAGAAACCUCAGCAUCCUGGGAGCUCAGAAUGUGUAUUACAUACAGUUGAACGGAGAGGAGCCAGUCACCUUAAGAAGAUCCAGGGCGAGAACCCCUGGACAGGAACUGAUCUCCCCUUGCGACAGCCAACACCAAGUCGCCAGCUGUCUGACAGACUUCCUCCGGAGCUGCCCAGUCCAGUGAUGGCUGUGGUUCAGUUCCAGACGACACUGAACUGAACCUCAGCAGGAACAGCAAGCCAGGCUGCCCAGCUGUCACUCCCAAAUCCUCACUCACAAAAGCCGCAGAGAGGAAAGCAGUAGCUAGUGCAGUUUGAAGCCACCAAAUUCGGAGUGAUUUGCUCUGCAAUAAAAGAUGCUAGUAUCCAAGUAGGCACGGUGUACAUGACUGUAAUCCCAUAACCUGGGAGGCUGAGGCAGCAAGUGGUCAGUUUGGGGCCAUCCUGGUUUACACAGCAAGGCCUUUUCUAAGAAACCAAAACCCAAACCAAGAGCUAGUUCAGUCUUCCCUGCUCUAGCUGCUUUCCCUAGUUGGUUUCAGCCACACAGACAUACUUCUGAUUCUCCUCUUCGGUCCAGCUUCCCCUUCACGUGUUCCAGCAGCUCGCUGUGUAUGUCCUCUAAGGCUCUGUUCAAAUGGUCCAGCGCUCCAUGGAUUUCUUCUUUGACCCUUUGUUCCACCUAUUUCCCCAGCACCUACCCUCUGACAUACUGCAAGCUUGCUUGCUUAUUUGUGUAUCGGCCAUCUUCUAGAAGGUAAGACCCUAAGAGGACAGGGGCUCUUUAUACCUGAUUCAGUGUUGAGUCCCUAGGGCCUAGGGUGCUUGUUAUUUCAAAACAACCAACAAAUAAUUACUGGAAAUACUGAAUGAGACAAGAAAUGGAGGAAAUGUCACUGUUGCAUAAGGGCAUUGGAGGGCACAUUGAUUGCUAGCACCAACGGACGGCCAUGGGAGGAUUGUCCUGUGUGUGCUUGCCCAGGAUCACAUUAAAUAACCCCACACACUGUGUAUUUACAUUUUGAUACAGGUGCCCUAUAGGGAAUUCUUAUGGGUAACAAGGAUUUUUAACUUCACCUGAAUCCUAACUAUAUGACUUAGGUCAAGUGCCUACAUUUUCAAGCCAAGAAAUAACAGCUUGUUAGCAGAAUUGUAAUAAUAUUCUUAAAAUUAUUUCAAAAUAUGGCUUGCAUAAAACGUUCCGCAGCUAAGUAAUCUUUAGAAACACUAUAUAUUUUUCUUCCUCUAGAGGACUCUUAGAGUGCAUGGCACAUGCAAAGUGGAGAAAUAAGUCAUCAUUCCUCACGUUUACUUACCUAAAGCAUGCUUUCUUCUUGGCUGGAAUUCCAAUCAACAAUUCUGGUACCCAGUGAGGUCUUCACGUGUCAGGGUCUGUACCUAUCAUAUCUCAUCACACCCUGUGCCUGGAUGAAGUAACUAGUACUACCAUCACCCCACUUCCUACAUGAGGGCAUGGAGAGAGAUUAAAUAACCUGCCCGAUGUUCUAUUGUAAAUCCAACAACAAUAACAGGAUUGGCUUCCAGAGCACAUCAGCCCAGCAGGAUUGUGAACGAGAAACCCUAGCUCCUUAACUGAUAUUGAGACUUUGAAAAUUAACCCCCUUUAUUAGCACUAAUAGUAAUCAUGUACUCCGCUUUCAAGGAAAACAACAUCUCAGUAUGUUUACUCUGCAAGGAGGCGUUUGAACCGCACCCUGUAUUAAUUACGGUUUUAUUGUUGUGAUUAAGACACCCUGACCAAGGCAACUUACAGAAGAAAGGACUUAUUUGGGCUUACAGUUCCAGAGGGUUAAAGUCCAUGGGGGUGGAGGUGGCAGGCACGGGGGCUGAAACAGCAAGUUGAAAGUGCAUAUCCUGAACUGCAAACCGGAAUCUGAGAGAGUAAACAGGAAGGACAAAGAACUUUAAAACCGCAAAGCCUACUCCCCGCAGUGAUAUUCUUCCCCCAGCAAGAUUACACCUUCCAAACCUAUCCAAACACCUGAGCCUGUGGGGGACCACUCUUAUUCAAACCAUUACUCUCCCCCGACAGAUGGAUCUCAAAUGCUUUGAUUACUGAUAAGAGCUUGAGCUAUUGUAUUUCUAAAUUUGUCUGUUUUGUGUAUGUAUAUAUACAUGUUAUGUUUGUAUGUGCGUGUGUGUUUGAUUGCAUGUGCACAUGUGUGCACAUAUGUGGAGACCAUAGCUCGACACCACACUUCUUCCUCAAUCGUUUGUCAUCUUAUAUUUUUAGACAAGGUCUCUUACUGAGUCUAGAGCUCACUGCUUAACUAGACUGACUGCCCAGCAAGCCCCGUGUCCUCCUAUGUCACCCCAGAAACCCUGGAAUUACAGAUGUA
Alexandromys fortis (reed vole) is the source of this 3108-nucleotide long non-coding RNA. RefSeq lists it as uncharacterized. Lineage: Eukaryota; Metazoa; Chordata; Mammalia; Rodentia; Cricetidae. The transcript is spliced from 4 exons. The record is from RefSeq and is a predicted model, not a curated record.